This 311-nucleotide long non-coding RNA is filed under the name Amborella trichopoda. RNAcentral's name for it is "long non-coding RNA (ATRI_LNC005183)". Lineage: Eukaryota; Viridiplantae; Streptophyta; Magnoliopsida; Amborellales; Amborellaceae. The record is from RNAcentral.
UACAUUCAUGUAUAACUGUGAACAGUUAUAGAAACUGUAAAUUCAUGUAUAAAUCCGCCAUUGUAAAUCAAGUUUGUAAGAUAAUAGAAACAAUAUCUUUCACAUGUUAUCAAAGCCAUAGACUCCUCGGCUCAGAUCUGAGCUCGCCAACUGCAGAUUUGAAGUCGGGAAAUUUCAAGACCGUCUACCCUGUUGUUGGCUCAUAUUCGUUCCGGAAAUUUCGUCUGCAUCAAACUCUCUCUCUCUCUAGAAAAUACCCACCUCUCUCUCUCUAAGGUUCAGCGUUGCCGAGUUGACGAAUUUUACAGAGA